CCCCCCAGCGCCGAGUGCGCAUGCGGCAAGUUGGGAGGUGGUUUCGAGUGAUGGAGUAAAUUUCUUUGUCUCGGUUCGGCGGCCGCGUGCGGAGGAGGUUUGCCGCCGGGACUCUGCGGCUGUGUUUACCGACCGAAAGUCGUGGAGGAAACUGGCAAAAAACGGCCACUUUCUCAGAAAGCGAGUGGAACUUGAGGGAGGAAACCAUGGAAAAAGGGACUCAUGGAAUCCAAUAAACAGGAGAUCCAGCCCAAGAAAGAGGCAAGAGAAAAUACCACUGCCACAGCUGCCCAACAGGCCUGGAGAGGAAUCCAUCCUAAAAAGAGCAGGAGAACAGAGAACUGCAAGGUCGGGGAAUGUCUCCAAGAAAAAAAAAAGAAAGAAAAUAAAUGGAUUGAUUACCAAUAUGUUUGAAUCUCUUGAGAGAAAAUUUCAGUUUCUGUCAGAGAUUUUGUGGAUCAAUUGGUGAUAAAUACACAGAUAACUAAGUGUAGCCAAUUUGUUGAACAGAUGGGAACUCUGGGGUGUAGGAAGAAAAUAAGUUUAUUCUUGGAUGCAAAGUUUAUUCUUUGCAUAUUCAAAUUGUUCUUCCCCCCAUGCCCUUGAAUGAAGUCUAGGGCAAAUCUCGGCCUAUUUAGUCACUCAGGUAAUAAAAUUCUCUUGAUCACUUAAAACUUC
Long non-coding RNA from Canis lupus familiaris (dog), 678 nucleotides. RefSeq lists it as uncharacterized. The record is from RefSeq and is a predicted model, not a curated record. NCBI's taxonomy places the organism in Eukaryota, Metazoa, Chordata, Mammalia, Carnivora, Canidae. The transcript has 2 exons.